GUGAUCAGUUCGGCAGCACUUAUACUAAAGUUGGAACAAUACAGAAAAGAUUAACAUAGCUCCUGUGUCAUUAGGAUGACAAGUAAAUUUGUAGAGUGUUCCAAUAUUUUU
This is a small nuclear RNA of Zalophus californianus (California sea lion), 111 nucleotides long. NCBI's taxonomy places the organism in Eukaryota, Metazoa, Chordata, Mammalia, Carnivora, Otariidae. The record is from Ensembl.